RNAcentral lists this ribosomal RNA (595 nucleotides) under Candida albicans. RNAcentral describes it as "eukaryotic LSU rRNA". It matches the Rfam family "Eukaryotic large subunit ribosomal RNA", at positions 47 to 656 of the family's 3401-position model. Lineage: Eukaryota; Fungi; Ascomycota; Pichiomycetes; Serinales; Debaryomycetaceae. The record is from RNAcentral.
UAAGCGGAGGAAAAGAAACCAACAGGGAUUGCCUCAGUAGCGGCGAGUGAAGCGGCAAAAGCUCAAAUUUGAAAUCUGGCGUCUUUGGCGUCCGAGUUGUAAUUUGAAGAAGGUAUCUUUGGGCCCGGCUCUUGUCUAUGUUCCUUGGAACAGGACGUCACAGAGGGUGAGAAUCCCGUGCGAUGAGAUGACCCGGGUCUGUGUAAAGUUCCUUCGACGAGUCGAGUUGUUUGGGAAUGCAGCUCUAAGUGGGUGGUAAAUUCCAUCUAAAGCUAAAUAUUGGCGAGAGACCGAUAGCGAACAAGUACAGUGAUGGAAAGAUGAAAAGAACUUUGAAAAGAGAGUGAAAAAGUACGUGAAAUUGUUGAAAGGGAAGGGCUUGAGAUCAGACUUGGUAUUUUGCAUGUUGCUCUCUCGGGGGCGGCCGCUGCGGUUUACCGGGCCAGCAUCGGUUUGGAGCGGCAGGAUAAUGGCGGAGGAAUGUGGCACGGCUUCUGCUGUGUGUUAUAGCCUCUGACGAUGCUGCCAGCCUAGACCGAGGACUGCGGUUUUUUACCUAGGAUGUUGGCAUAAUGAUCUUAAGUCGCCCGUCUUG